UUCAAGGUGCUGCAUGGUUGUCGUCAGCUCGUGCCGUGAGGUGUCGGGUUAAGUCCCGCAACGAGCGCAACCCUGACCUUAGUUGCCAGCAUUCAGUUGGGCACUCUAAGGUGACUGCGGCUAAAAGUCGGAGGAAGUGGGGAUGACGUCAAAUCAUCAUGCCCCUUAUGACCUGGGCUACACACGUGCUACAAUGGGCGGUACAAAGGGUCGCGAACCCGCGAGGGGGAGCCAAUCCCAAAAAGCCGCUCUCAGUUCGGAUUGCAGGCUGCAACUCGCCUGCAUGAAGCCGGAAUCGCUAGUAAUCGCGGAUCAGCAUGCCGCGGUGAAUACGUUUCCGGGCCUU
Molecule: ribosomal RNA, 346 nt
Filed under: uncultured Anoxybacillus sp.
Lineage: Bacteria; Bacillati; Bacillota; Bacilli; Caryophanales; Anoxybacillaceae
Description: bacterial SSU rRNA
Rfam family: Bacterial small subunit ribosomal RNA
Source: RNAcentral